RNAcentral lists this ribosomal RNA (237 nucleotides) under uncultured bacterium. RNAcentral describes it as "partial 16S ribosomal RNA". It matches the Rfam family "Bacterial small subunit ribosomal RNA", at positions 338 to 567 of the family's 1533-position model. The record is from RNAcentral.
CCUACGGGACGCAUCCGUAUUUCCUCUUCCACACUUUCCUCCCUUCUUCUUGAGCAACGCCGCGUGAGUGAAGAAGGGUUUCGGCUCGUAAAGCUCUGUUGGUAGUGAAGAAAGAUAGAGGUAGUAACUGGCCUUUAUUUGACGGUAAUUACUUAGAAAGUCACGGCUAACUACGUGCCAGCAGCCGCGGUAAUACGUAGGUGGCAAGCGUUGUCCGGAUUUAUUGGGCGUAAAGCG